This 383-nucleotide ribosomal RNA is filed under the name uncultured Helicobacter sp. Its description in RNAcentral is "bacterial SSU rRNA". It matches the Rfam family "Bacterial small subunit ribosomal RNA", at positions 70 to 486 of the family's 1533-position model. The record is from RNAcentral. Lineage: Bacteria; Pseudomonadati; Campylobacterota; Epsilonproteobacteria; Campylobacterales; Helicobacteraceae.
AGCUUCUAGCUUGCUAGGUGGAUUAGUGGCGCACGGGUGAGUAACGCAUAGAUAACAUGCCCUUUAGUUUGGGAUAGCCACUAGAAAUGGUGAUUAAUACCAAAUACUACCCUACGGGGGAAAGAUUUAUCGCUAAAGGAUUGGUCUAUGUCCUAUCAGCUUGUUGGUGAGGUAAAGGCUCACCAAGGCAAUGACGGGUAUCCGGCCUGAGAGGGUGAACGGACACACUGGAACUGAGACACGGUCCAGACUCCUACGGGAGGCAGCAGUAGGGAAUAUUGCUCAAUGGGCGCAAGCCUGAAGCAGCAACGCCGCGUGGAGGAUGAAGGUUUUAGGAUUGUAAACUCCUUUUGUGAGAGAAGAUAAUGACGGUAUCUCACGAA